GACGAACGCUGGCGGCGUGCUUAACACAUGCAAGUCGAACGCUGAAGCCCGCUUGCGGGUGGAUGAGUGGCGAACGGGUGAGUAACACGUGAGUAACCUGCCCUUCACUUUGGGGAUAACCUUCGGAAACGGGGGCUAAUACUGGAUAUGACUCAUGGCCGCAUGGUUGUGGGUGGAAAGAUUCUUUGGUGGGGGAUGGGGCUCGCGGCCUAUCAGCUUGUUGGUGGGGUGAUGGCCUACCAAGGCGACGACGGGUAGCCGGCCUGAGAGGGCGACCGGCCACACUGGGACUGAGACACGGCCCAGACUCCUACGGGAGGCAGCAGUGGGGAAUAUUGCACAAUGGGCGCAAGCCUGAUGCAGCGACGCCGCGUGGGGGGAU
This 382-nucleotide ribosomal RNA is filed under the name uncultured bacterium. Its description in RNAcentral is "bacterial SSU rRNA". It matches the Rfam family "Bacterial small subunit ribosomal RNA", at positions 28 to 410 of the family's 1533-position model. The record is from RNAcentral.